This 1683-nucleotide long non-coding RNA is filed under the name Rosa chinensis. RNAcentral describes it as "sRNA RchiOBHm_Chr6g0271101". Lineage: Eukaryota; Viridiplantae; Streptophyta; Magnoliopsida; Rosales; Rosaceae. The record is from RNAcentral.
AUGGGCUUAGGAGAGGUAUAGAGCUGGACCAAGUAUAGAGUCAUCUAGUUCACUGUGUUUAAGGAGUUUGGAAAUCUGAGUUUAAGUUUUGUACAGUUGUCGACUCAGCUUUAGUUUAGAGUUAGAAUUGGCAAUCUCUUCUCGCUCGACGUUUUGUGCUUGACUUUUGUUAUUUGGCUUUAUAGAUUAGCAUAUCAGUUAUGAUGUAUAGUAGUACUAGGUAGUAAUACCGUAUUUGGAGUGUUAUUCAAACAUUCAGCUUUUCUGAAACUUUGAUUACAAGGGUGGUAUUGAAAAGCAUAACUAUGGAGAAUUUGUUUUCAGACACUGUACUGGCUCCAUGGAUAGGAUCUCAUGACUGUACAAAGGAAUUCUCUUAGGGGAAUUUGAGGCCUAAAAACUAGUCUGGUUUCUGUAUACUUGGCUUCAAAAAUGCUCUUUUCUUUUCAAUUUGUGUGCUGAGAUUUUUUGUUUGGAUUGAGUGAUGAUGAAAGCAGGGAGGGGGUGGUUGUAUUAUUGAAUUGUGGUUCUCGUGAAACAAAAGUGCUAGCUUGUGUCCCUCUAUAACCACUUCAAUUUUGAUUUCAGCAUGGUUGUUGCACCAGUUAACUAGCUAGUUUUCUGAGAGGAUUGGGAAUAAUUUGAAUCAUCAGUUCAAGGUCAGUAAAUCUGAAAAGUAGUUGUUCUAAACUCCAAACUAUGUUUUUGUGAAUCGGAUUCCUCAUAUCUAUAGCAUUUUGCAUUGUCUUAUGCUUGGUAGGCCUUCCCUUUUAUUAUGAUGGAAAAGAUUGAGAUUUUUUCAUGUAGGCUUCUUGUUAGUAACUUAGUAUGGUUUCGAGACCAGACUAAUUUUACUGACCCUGCAUGAUUAUGGCUUUUGUUAUUACUUAACUUCUAAUUUCUGUUUUCUUUCUUUAGGGUGCUAGUUUGAUUGCUCAGUUUAGAUUUAGUGAAUUUCAUAAGAAGAGGGUCUGUCCACUUCUUAAUCUUCACUGCAUAUUAUUGUAGACACAACAAGAUUUCUUUUUUGUCGUGUACACAUUUUCAUCUUGUUGCGCAAGCUGCUUCUUGUUAUUAUGAACCCUAUCGUAGGUCAAGAAAGGGAUUUUACUGGAUAGUGUAGGUCCUGGACAGUUAAAUCUCCAAUUUUCAUCUUUCUUCUGGCUAUGCUAGUUGCAUUCCAUGAUUUAGUGUUAUAUGCGUACUGCAGUUUAAUUAAACCAAAUUAUCAAAGAGGUGGUAGGUUCUAUUGAUUUAUGUUUCUCCAUUGCUCUUCGAAGAAGCCGGUAGUUCAGGGCUUCUGUAGUCACUUAUGAGUACCAAUGUAUUCUGGACAUGAUGACUUAACCUUUACAUCUUGGUAGUAAUAGUGUACCAGUCUUGAUAAAACAAAGAGGGAUCCCAAAUUAGACAAUGAAGAAGAAAUGAGUAUGUGUGGGCAUGCAAUGGAUGACCUACUUGAGACUGAAUUGUUUGAUACUGAUUAACUUAAAUGCUUGAUGUAAAACUGAUAUGCCUGAUCAAUCCUAUGUUUUCGAUCUAUUCAAAUCCCAGUGAAACUAAUUGAGAAGUCAUAUUAUGUAUUUUGAUUUUGUAAAAUUAUAUCAUAUGUGUUUUGUUUUCUUGUUCAUCCUUUAGGUAACCUGCUUUGGAGAUUCGAGUACAGUUUUGUAUCAUAUCAGU